This 497-nucleotide ribosomal RNA is filed under the name uncultured bacterium. RNAcentral's name for it is "partial 16S ribosomal RNA". It matches the Rfam family "Bacterial small subunit ribosomal RNA", at positions 28 to 507 of the family's 1533-position model. The record is from RNAcentral.
GAUGAACGCUGGCGGCGUGCCUAAUACAUGCAAGUCGAGCGAACAGAUGAGGAGCUUGCUCCUCUGACGUUAGCGGCGGACGGGUGAGUAACACGUGGAUAACCUACCUAUAAGACUGGGAUAACUUCGGGAAACCGGAGCUAAUACCGGAUAAUAUAUUGAACCGCAUGGUUCAAUAGUGACAGACGGUUUUGCUGUCACUUAUAGCUGGAUCCGCGCUGCAUUAGCUAGUUGGUAAGGUAACGGCUUACCAAGGCAACGCUGCGUAGCCGACCUGAGGGGGUGAAGGGCCACAGUGGAAGUGAGACGCGAUACAGACUCCUAGGUGAGGCAGCGAUAGGGAAUCGUCGGCAAUGUGCGAAAGCCUGACGGAGCAACGCCGCGUUGGUGAAGAAGGUCUGCGGAUCGGAAAACGCUGUUAGUAUUGAAGAACGAAUGUGUAAGUAACUAUGCACGUCGUGACGGUACCUGAACAGAAAGCCACGGCUAACUACGUG